Rattus norvegicus (Norway rat) is the source of this 69-nucleotide non-coding RNA. NCBI's taxonomy places the organism in Eukaryota, Metazoa, Chordata, Mammalia, Rodentia, Muridae. The record is from Rfam.
GGGGAUUUAGCUCAGCGGUAGAGCGCUUGCCUAGCAAACACGAGGCCCUGGGUUCGGUCCCCAGCUCUG